Long non-coding RNA from Equus asinus (donkey), 3435 nucleotides. NCBI's taxonomy places the organism in Eukaryota, Metazoa, Chordata, Mammalia, Perissodactyla, Equidae. The record is from Ensembl.
CAGAGAGGUAACAGGGAGCCAGGCCGUGCAGGGCCUCGUAGGCCACUAGAAAUUCUUUGGCUUUUGCUGUACGUGAGAUCUGAAGUCCCCGAAGGCUUGGCUUCUUAGAGGAGUGACAAGUUCUGAAUUGCGUGUUGCUAGGAGCCCUGUGGCUGCUUGGUGGUGAGGAGGCUGGAGUUGGCCUCGGGGUGAAGCAGAGAGACCAGCUAAGAGGGCGCUGCCCAGAAAUCCUGGUGACAGAUGGUGGGCCCUGUGGGUGAAGCCUGUGUGCCCUUGUUGUCCUGCAGAGGGAACAAGCAGGACGAGGAGGAGAACCAGGUGUCAGCGUGAAGAAAAUGAGAGCGCUGGGGAGAACGAAGGCAGGCUGUUUCCUUCAGGUCCACUGGGCGACGGACAGUGAUUGUGGCCUCAAGAUCCAAUCACUCAGAGAGAGGUGCGAGGGAACUCAGCUCCCGGCUUUCUCAGUUGUCCUCUCUUCCUGAAUCCAUCUGUGGUGUCAACCAGUCAUGGAUGCAGGAGACUCUGAAGUUAAGCCCAGCAGCACCACACUGAACAUCCUGAGGAAGAGACCUGAAUACUUAAAGCCCCAAAACCUUGCCUCCAAAAACAUGGUUCUGCAUAAGACAGAUGGGCUCAGAAUCGUCACUGAGGUCUGGGUAAGUGUGGACUCAGCAGCUGAGGCAGCCUGAAGUCACUGUCCACCUGGAGAGCUGGGUCAGAAGAUGGAGGCAGAGACAAAUAUCCCGUGUCUCUGUUUAGCCUUAUUUCAGGUCAGUGGGUAUGAUUUUACCUGAGGCAUUUGCUUUGAGUCUUUACCAAACACUGUGGAAUCGCAUUACCACUGAUCUAGGCAUUCUCAGACAUCACCGGAAGUUCCUGUCCGCGGAGGCGGGCCCAGGGCAGGGGCAGGCGCGGCCAUGGGCGGUACCUGGAGCCUGCGCGGGCUCCGCCCACAAGCCGGUGGCUGCUAGUGCGCAGGCGCCAGAUGGAGUGCACGCAUGGGACAGGGAGGACGCAGAGGCGGGCCUAAUGCCCGCUCGAGGAGGCGGGGUCACAGACUGAGGGGCGGGGCCGGAACCAGAGGGGCGGGGCCGAGGUCCCAAGGCUAGUCUUGGGCGAAAGUCAGGGACCAAGGGAGGAGCCCAGGACGCCUGACUCUAUAUGUUGAGGGUGGAGCCCGUUUCCGGUGGAGAGGGGAGAGUUCCAGUGCUCUGGAGCUGAAGAGUGUGCCUGGUGCGUGCCCUUCCUAGUUCCUCAGAGGACCCUUGGCCUCUGGAUGCCCCUUGUGUGAGGUUGUGAGAACACAUUUUCCUGCUUAUUCAUGCAUCUCUCAGCCAGACAUUGUUGGCACCCAGGCCACACAUAUCUGCCACAUUAAUAGGAAAGCCCAAAAUAUUAGCCAACAUAAUCCAGAGCUGCAUCUUCAAAGAAUGAUGACUAUGGCCAGGAAAUGUAAAGAAGGUUCAAUGUUAAGAACUCUCUUAAUUUGCUAUUUUAAGAGACCAAAAGAGGAUAAUCAUACAGUCAUCUCCAUAGAUGUUAAAAAGAUAAAAAGAGGGGUUAUAUGAUUUUACAACAGGAAUUUGCUUUUAGUCUACUAUCAACACCAAAAUCAAAUUACCGCUCUGAUCAUUACAUCACUUUCUCUAACAUCAUAAUCACUUAUAUGCACAUAAUGCACCACUUGAUUAGGGCGAUGACACUCCAAUUUCUUUAAUAAUUCAUGUGUUUUAUGAGGUAAUGCUGCAGGUCAGCCCCUCUAGUUGCCCACGACAGCUCGGCCCAAAGACGCUGUGGCUCCUGUUGUUCCCAUUUAAAAUACGUAAUUGAAUAAUGACUUUAGAGUUGGAAUUUUAAGUAGAGCUCUUACUAGGUUUAUCUAUUGUUUAUAUAUUGGAACACUUACGGGAAACUUAGUUUCUCUGAUUUCAUAGGUUUACUCUGUUAAAUAGAAUUAUUUAUUAUUUGUGAAGGGUUUAUUUAUUAAGACUUUGUGUUUUCUUCCUCCCAAAUCUCCUUUCCCUCUCUUCCUUAUUUUGGUAAAUGGCAAUUCUUUCCUUCCUAUUCUUCAAGCCAAACACCUUUGUGUCCUCCUUGACUCCUCUGUUUCCUUCAUGCCCCACAUUAACUCCAUCAGCAAAUCCUCAGCUCUAUGUUCAACAAGAACCUGAAUGUGACCAGGUCAUUGCACCUCCACUGUUACUGCACUUGUCAAACCCUCCAUUACCACUCUCCUGGAUUAUUCUAAUAGGCUCCUAACUAGGCUUUCUACUUCUUCCUUACUCUACGCAGUCACUUCUUGUACACAUCUUUUGUUGAACAUCUGUACACAUUUCUGUCAGCUAAAGAACUUGCUGGGUCACAAGUCAAGGUGAUGUCCAAAGACUACAAAAGCAUGAGUUGAAACCCUCCAAAAAUGUACCCUCCUUCUGUCCCCUAGCGCAAGCUCCCUGCCUAAGGAGAGGGAGUGAGAGCACUCUGUUCCUUCUUCUCCAUCACUUGGGAGAAGGGGCUGUGAAGAAAGGGACAUGGUGCCCUCUUUUUCCUGUGGGUCUCAGGAUCCCUCUAGCUGGGAAGAAAAAAGAUUUUUAAAAAGUUUGUGUUCUGUCGUACAAAGAAACAGAAGGAAACUUGAACUUUAAAUUAUCCCAUCUGUCACUUUCCAUUGAUUGAGUCUUGCUCAUUAAGAUAAAUUCCAAGCUAGAAUAUAAUUUUUUAUGUUUUGCCUUUUGAGCUCUCCAGAAUGUAUGCCUUUCAGCUACCUCGGUUUCUUUCUUUUUUUUUCAUUCUUUCUUUCUUUUGCUCUCCCCCCCCCCCCAUAUUGCCAGCUGCCAAGGAGGAAUGGGGCACUCUAUCUCAUGGUGUUUCCCUUCUUAUUUGAGUUCUUCUGCAGUUCAACACCUGACAUCCACCUGCAGAGAUGCCCAAGCAAAGUCAGACACCCCCUUUUCUCUCUCUUGCGUGCCGUGUUGGUACAAGAAGGGUGUGCGGCUUCUCUGGGACAGAAGAGAACCCAAAUUGAGCUCUACUGUUAACUAGCUGUGGGAUCCUGGAGGAGUCGUUUACCCUGAUUCUUAGCUUCCACGUCUGUUGAAGGGGAGAUGCUCAUGAAGAGGACAGGAUGGCUAGGUUUUGGUAUCAAGCUUAUGCUGGCCUCAUCAAUGAGGUGAGGAGUGCUCCCUCCUACUCUACUUCCUGAAAGAGAUUAUGUCUAUUGGAAUCAACCAAUCCUUCACUGUUUGGCAGAACUUACUUAUAAAACCAUCUGAGCUUGUUUACUUUAUCAGAAAUUUUUUAACUAACUGACUCAAUGAUUAGAAGACUAUUAAAGCUUUCUGUUUAUUUCUUGACCUAUUUGAUAAAUUAGAUUUUUCUAGGGAAGUGUUUAUUUUAUCUGAAUAAAUAUAUUCAUCCAGCAAAAAUGAAUUGAAUAGC